Vicugna pacos (alpaca) is the source of this 685-nucleotide non-coding RNA. NCBI's taxonomy places the organism in Eukaryota, Metazoa, Chordata, Mammalia, Artiodactyla, Camelidae. The record is from RefSeq and is a predicted model, not a curated record.
CGUGCCUGUCACUCAGCGGAGCGCGGGACUCCGCGCGCCCUGUGCGUGCGCGGGUCGCGUCGGUCAGUGACCAGGCACUGCGCCUGCUCGGAGCCCUCGCGUGGGCGCAGCGGGCGCGGGCGCAGGCGCAGGCGUGCGGCCUUUAUAAAAAGUGCGCGUCACGCCAGAUCGUGCACUUGAGACUCCACGUGGCUUCUGGCGCGUGUGGAGCAGGGCUCCUUCAGGUUCUUUCCGUGUGCGAGGUGUGGCCCCACAGCUUGUCAGUGCCCUGGGCCGGGCUCAUGGCCUGGGGGUGCUGGCUGUCCACGUGACUGUGAUACGCCCGAACCAGGGAUCUGUCUAGCUCCCGACAAGUCUCCAGGGGAAGCCAUUGUUUGAAUGCCUACGAUGGAAUAGCCUGGCCUCUGAUAACCAGGUGUAGAAGAUAUGCUCUUCAGGGCACAAUUCAGAAACAAAGUCAACUUUCUCACCAGUCUUUUCUAAAUCUGAGUUGGAAAAAAUAUUGACCUCCUGAAAGGAGUCAUGAGGAGGAGACCACACAGAAGUUCAGACCUUUUGAUUUUCUUCUUCAGUUUUGGCAACCAUGAAGGGACCCAGAGCAGACAUGUCUGAACUCUACAAUAAUCCAGAGUCUUGGUAUCAGCAAGGUUCCUUUGUGCCCAUCCACCUCCUCAGCAAGUCCAGA